This 368-nucleotide transfer-messenger RNA is filed under the name Bacteroidia bacterium. It matches the Rfam family "transfer-messenger RNA". From Rfam's summary of the family: Bacterial tmRNA, also known as 10Sa RNA or SsrA, is named for its dual tRNA and mRNA-like properties. Its role is to liberate the mRNA from a stalled ribosome. Lineage: Bacteria; Pseudomonadati; Bacteroidota; Bacteroidia. The record is from RNAcentral.
GGGGUCGACAGGAAUCGACAGGAAGUGAUGUUAAUCGAUAAGCAUGCAGAGUUUUGUUAGUUGACUCUUAAAUCUUAACUGGCAACAUGCCUAAUUGGCAACGACAAUUUUGCAUUAGCUGCUUAAUCUAGGAUUAACUAGUUAAUUGCUCCGGUGGAGAUGCUGGUCAUUCAUUUCUGCUAAUGGAGUAUCGACAAAGAUGACCUGGCUGCUGCGAGACCUUGGCGUAGUGGUAAGAUAAAAAGGAUAAGGUAGAGGUUGGUCUGUCGUGAACCGGUCUUUACUCGAAAAUCAAUCAUAGACUAAGCAUGUAGAAAGUUGGUGAGCGCCUUAGCUGGACGAGGGUUCAAAUCCCUCCGACUCCACAA